Molecule: ribosomal RNA, 490 nt
Filed under: uncultured bacterium
Lineage: Bacteria
Description: partial 16S ribosomal RNA
Rfam family: Bacterial small subunit ribosomal RNA
Source: RNAcentral
GACGAACGCUGGCGGCGUGCCUAACACAUGCAAGUCGAACGGGACCGGGGGCAACUCCGGUUCAGUGGCGGACGGGUGCGUAACACGUGAGGAACAUGACUUUCGGUGGGGGAUAGCCGGCCCAACGGCCGGGUAAUACCGCGUACGACCUUUCGGGGACAUCCCCGAUUGGUGAAAGCAGCAAUGCGCCGAAAGAGUGCCUCGCGGCCUAUCAGCUAGUUGGUGGGGUAAUGGCCCACCAAGGCGACGACGGGUAGCUGGUCUGGGAGGAUGGCCAGCCACAUUGGGACUGAGACACGGCCCAGACUCCUACGGGAGGCAGCAGUGGGGAAUAUUGCGCAAUGGGCGAAAGCCUGACGCAGCGACGCCGCGUGUGGGAUGACGGCCUUCGGGUUGUAAACCACUGUCGGGAGGGACGAAUGCCCCGCAAGGGGAGUGACGGUACCUCCAAAGGAAGCACCGGCUAACUCCGUGCCAGCCGUCGCCGUAA